RNAcentral lists this ribosomal RNA (351 nucleotides) under uncultured bacterium. RNAcentral describes it as "partial 16S ribosomal RNA". It matches the Rfam family "Bacterial small subunit ribosomal RNA", at positions 338 to 706 of the family's 1533-position model. The record is from RNAcentral.
CCUACGUGAGGCAGCAGUGGGGAAUAUUGCACAAUGGGGGAAACCCUGAUGCAGCGACGCCGCGUGAGUGAAGAAGUAUUUCGGUAUGUAACGCUCUAUCAGCAGGGAAGAAAAUGACGGUACCUGAUUAAGAAGCUCCGGCUAACGCCGUGCCAGCAGCCGGGGGAAUACGUAGGGGGCAAGCGUUAUACGGAUUUACUGAGUGUAAAGUGAGCGUAGACGGCAGCACAAGUCUGGAGUGAAACGCCGGGGCUGAACCCAGGAACUGCUUUGGAAACCGGGCAGCUAGAGUGCGGGAGAGGGAAGUGGAAUUCGGAGUGUAGCGGGGAAAUGCGGAGAGAGUAGGAGGAA